This 309-nucleotide ribosomal RNA is filed under the name uncultured bacterium. Its description in RNAcentral is "partial 16S ribosomal RNA". It matches the Rfam family "Bacterial small subunit ribosomal RNA", at positions 504 to 807 of the family's 1533-position model. The record is from RNAcentral.
AGAGACAGCAGCAGCCGCGGUAAUACGGAGGGUGCAAGCGUUAAUCGGAAUUACUGGGCGUAAAGCGCACGCAGGCGGUCUGACAAGUCAGAUGUGAAAUCCCCGGGCUUAACCUGGGAACUGCAUUUGAAACUGUCAGGCUGGAGUCUUGUAGAGGGGGGUGGAAUUCCAGGUGUAGCGGUGAAAUGCGUAGAGAUCUGGAGGAAUACCGGUGGCGAAGGCGGCCCCCUGGACAAAGACUGACGCUCAGGUGCGAAAGCGUGGGGAGCAAACAGGAUUAGAUACCCGGGUAGUCCCUGUCUCUUAUAC